Non-coding RNA from Coturnix japonica (Japanese quail), 6461 nucleotides. The record is from RefSeq and is a predicted model, not a curated record. Lineage: Eukaryota; Metazoa; Chordata; Aves; Galliformes; Phasianidae.
UCUGUUAACCAGCACUGCUGGCUCCCGGGCAUCGUGCUUUUCAUGCUUCUGCUAAUCACUUGUUAAUAAACAAGAGGAGAACGCAGCCUCGUGUAGCCCUCUAGAAGGACCUCCUGCCUUGUGGGCUUGAGCUGUUGGGCUGCAUCCACACCCUCUGCUCCCAGUCCUUUUGCAGUGCCAAGGGCAGACAGUGGGGCCCUCGUGUGCUGUCGGUGUGGGACUGCAAAGGGAGGUGGUGCUGGGUGGGUUGGUGCUGCAGGAAGCACAGCUGGGCAGGGGGAUCCUCACAGCUGUUUAAUAUCUCAUGGGUCACCUCAGUGCUCAUCCUGCAGGAUCUCUGCCCCUCACAGCCUGCCUGGGGUGAGGUACCCCCAGCUGCCCCUGUGGGGGCUGUGUAAAGUCUUUGAGCCCUUCCCAUCAAAGCAGUACUCUAAGGGCUUUUCUCUCCUGUGGCCCUUGCUCAUAGGUGGCUCUUCAUGCUCUGUGAGCAGAUCUGGUGCCUCCUGUUCUGCCAGCAGGUAUCCUGGAGCACAGUGCUGCUGGGAGGAUUCCCCAUUGGAUUUGGACAUCGGGACACUGCUGGAGAAGACUGUGCAGAAGUUGCUCAGCGAGUGUCAGUAGUGCAGUGGGGACAGCGUGCCAGGGAUGCUCAAAGGAAGCACGGAGAUAUGGAGCUUUCUGAAGACCUUGCAACACCUUUCCUCUGGCCUUGCAGAAAGGUAAAAGCAAGAACACUGUCUGCAACAGUUUGUUAUUCAGAAACAGUGGGCUGGCUUUUGUUUUUUGCUGGUGAAACUUCAAUGUAAAGUUGGGAAGAGGCAGCAUUGCUCCGUCAUUGCGUCCCCAUGGUCGGUGCUCUCAGUCUGUGCCAGUUGCACUGCUCCUCUGCCAAGGGAACGAAGGCAGCAGAAGUUUCACAGUUGAAGUGAGGUUGGUGCCUUCUGGGAACAGGGAUCUGUUUUGCUGAGCAGAUAGAAGGGUCCGCAGCACCUCCUGGGAAAUGUAGUCCUUUCGUAGUGCUUUGCAGAGUUAAUCAAUUAAAUAAAAGCCAUGCAGUCGUACUACAGCUCCCAGAACGCAGUGGCCCACAGGGUGUGGGGGCACAGGUGUUUAAAAAUGGAAAAGGUCCAGGGUUGGGGGGGUUUACAGCCAGGUUCUGCCCUCUGCCACUCAUCUCCUCAGGUCUGGUCCAACCACUCAGCCCUUUUGGGAGCUUUACACGUGUGCACAUCCACAGUGUCCUCGCACUCCUUGCAGCGCACAGCGCAGCACCAGUGGAACUUGCACUCACACUUGGUGACGCGGGUGACGCGGGUGGUGUCGUACCCCCUCCCGCAGCACAUCACCUCGCAGCCAUCGGUGCCACGGGAGAUCUUGUUGCACACGCGCCCUGCGGUGCCCAGUGAGCCUGGAGGGGAGGAAACAACAGCAGGUCAGGCAGUUCCCCCCCACACCGUGUUGAGAGCUCCCUGCGGCCCCCCACCCAUGUGUCCAUCACCUGGGGCCUCAGGUGGGGCUGUUUUAUCAAGGCUGUUGGGGGCUCCUUCCCCACCCACAGAGCAUCCUGGCCCCAGGGAUGCUCUAAGAGACACAGAGCGGCACCCCUGGGGGCUGCAGGCCAUUGGGGGGCAGGGAGAGCUGCUGUAGGUACUUAUGGGAGGUUCUGUGUGUACCUGCUGACUUGUCCAUCACGCAGUAGUCGGGCGAGUUCUCAAAAUACACCAGGUCUGUCUUUGUGGGCUUCCUGAAGUUCUUGUUGGCCACGGUAAAGCCGGUACCGUCCUGGUUCAUGAUCACCUGGAUGGCCCCAUUGUAUUUCUUCCGCAGGUAAUCCCCUGUUUUCCGGAAAUCCGACAUGGCCAGCCAACAAGUCCUUAAGGUGCAGGAGCCGCUGACCCCGUGGCAUUUGCACUCCAGCUUCAGGAAGCGCUUCACAGCCUGCAGGAAGGGGUAACACAUCAGGACUGGGAAUGGUGGCCACAACCAGUGGGACCAUCCUGGGUGUAUUCAAGGCCAGGCUGGAUGUGGCUCUGGGCAGCCUGGUCUAGUGGUUGGCAACCCUGCACAUAGCAGGGGGUUGAAACUAGAUGACCUCGAGAUCUGUUUCAACCCAGGCCAUUCUAUGGUUCAAUGAAAGGAGCCCCAGGGAUGGGUUCUCCUCUCCCUGACCCCACAAACACACUCCUGGCAGCCUUGGGAAGUAUCCCAGCCUCACUCACCAUCCUGCCACAGCGGUUGUUGUGCAGGUUCAUCAGCGCCCGCGCGUCCUUCACUUUCUUCUCCUUGGCAUCCACGAAGGCUUUGGCGAAGCGGAUGCCAUAGUUGAUGUUGUCGCUGCAGCCGCCCCAGUCGAACUCCCCGCGCUCAUCCUUGGCACGACCACGUUUCAGUGGGUCACAGCCACAGGCCUUCAGCUCCCCUUGGCUGCAGGCACGUGUGAUGGCGUACACCACCCCAGCCGAGGAGAUGGCAUAGACAAAGGCGGCCUCCCUGCUGCCUGCGGGCACAGAGUGUGGGGGAAUAUGUGAAGAACCUUUCUCUCCCUCCCCCAUCCCAACUCACACCCUGCACUGGGGCACAGCACAGACACACAGCAGCACCUACUUCUCAGCAUCACCCUCCCGAAGACGGUGUGGUCCCGGUCCAGUGUGCUGCAGUUCCAACGGUGGUGCCGGAACUGGUACUGGCACUCACGGAUCCAUUCCUUAGCUCCUUCCCCGACGGACUGCAUGAUGUCUGGGUACCUUUGGCACAGCUGCCUCUGCUUGUUCACCAGCCCUGGGAUGUUGUCGCAGAUCACCCUCGCCCCCAGCGCCCCAAUGUACCUGCAGGGAGAAGGGAAUGGUGUGGAGAUGCAGGCUCUGGUGCUGCGUGGCACCAAUGCUGAGGUGGAAGAAGAGGAGAUGUGAGCUUUGCUUGUUGCUGCAGGUCUUGCUCAUGCUGCUGGCACCAAGUCCUUAAGAUGGACAACUGGUGCUGUGCUGUCUGGCCUGCAUGCACAUCGUCUGCACCUUUAUGCACUGCUGGGAGCAGGCAGCAGCUCCAUGCAGCAGUAGCAAUGUUUGAUGUGCAGUGGGCAGCUUUCCACACCAACCAGGGGGAUCCCAGCUCUUCCUGCACCCAGCAGCCCUCAGGCUUGCAUGGACAAUGGAGACAUGGUGGAAUUUUCCAUCCCCAUCCCAUGCGUGCUGUGCCAGCAGGCAGCCUGCUCUGUGCCGGCAGUGAUUUUUGCCACAUAGCACGGAGCUGCUAUUCUGGCUGCAAGGGAAGAGGUUUGGGUGGGAUUCAAAUGUUUCAACCCCCCACCCAGAGUGGAAAUAAGACCCUCCCUUUAAUCACAAUAAAAAGCAAUAAGCUUGGGCAAUGUAUCAUUGUCUUUCUCUCUCUCUCUCUGGCCAUGCUCUAUCAUUUCCAUCAGCUUCAGAGAUAGCUCCCAGGCUCAGGAAAACCCAGCGAGCAGAGAAAGCAAUGGGAUCUUUUCCACCCUUCUUUUUCUUUUUCUUCUUUUUUUUUUACACUAUUUUGUUUAAAUGCUGGCAGAAGCAUGAGGUCAUCUCAGGCUGGAGCUGAGGAUGACAGGCACAGCUCCCCAUAGCUCUGCUGCACUGGGGCCUGUGGGCACUGUGUCUUUGUGGUGGCAUAAAGCAGGAGGGCAGCAGCACCCCCAGAGCUGGGAGCAAAGGAAACCUCCAUUUGGGAGGGGAAAGAACAGCCAAACAUUGGUUUUGGAUUGGUGAAAGCAUCCCCUCUGAUCAUACUGCUGAAGUGCUGGGAUGCUUUGAAAGCACUGAAAUAGGGAAUAGAGGGGUGCUCUGAGAAGCUCCCAGUUCCUUUAGCAGAAUGAUUGCAGGUGUACAUCUGGGUUUUCUGAGUAGUGUCUGCAGAGCUCUGUGCUGCUCUGGAUCCUUCUGGUUCUGUUCCUGUUUCCUCCAGGUUUUCAGCUUGCUGGGAGAUGGGUGAGCAGCACUGUGCUCCUCCUGCCACACCUCCACCUUCUCAUCUCUUCCCAUGGUGAACACCACAUGCAGCACCAGCACAGACCAGCGGCUUCGUGUUCUGCAGGUUAGUGCUGUCAGAGCCUGGGUGUAAGGGAGGGGAAGCAGUCCCAGUUUGCUGUCUGCUCUCUGCUCUUUGGGGCCAUCCAGCCGUGAGGCCGAUGCUCUUUCCCAACAGGCUGCGCGCUCCGGCUGCGCCAUGCGUGGGGAACAGGAGACAACUGUCACAUGUUGGCUCCCAGUUGUUUUUCUUGCUCUAAGAGUCUGCUGACUUCUCCUCUUGUAAACAAGGAGAAACCUAAAUUGCUUCUAAGAUAAACAUGCAAAUCAGAGGCAGACGCGUCUAUGUACUUGGCAGCAUGAAGUUGUGCUAACCCCCUCCCCACGCACGCCCUGUGCUGAGAUGCGCUCCUGGGACUGCACACCCGGCUGCCCCAUUGCUCCCUGCUCCUUAGGGAUCUCUUGCAAAGCUGUGUGGCCCACAUUGCAUCUCUACCCCUGGUUGAGGCUGCCCAGCAGCUCAGGGUUCUGCCCGCUUCUGCUCUCCCCAUGGGUUCAAGGGGUGUCUGUGCUGAUGUGCAUUGGCUGCAGGCUCUGGGAUGUGCCACGCAGUGUUCCCAGAAGCAGCUCUCAUUCUCCUGGUGUGCCAGAGUCCCUUUUUGAUUGCUAACUGUGCUUUUGGCAGCAGCCCUCCUGCUGCUGAGCUAUUGAGUGAGAAAUGCAAGCUCCCGCUGUGGGGAAAGCAGGGCUGCACCAGUACCAUGGAAGGCACAAUGCUAAAUCAGAUUGAUAGCAGCUGAGGUUGGCACCAGAGGUUAAAGUGGGGUGCCCAUCUUUGGGGCUGCAUUAGAACAGACCCCAUCCCAGCUGGAGCCAGGGGCAGCUCUGAGCUCAUCCCUGCAGCUUCUGUUCUCUUCCUUCCCACUGAGAGGAUACGGAAUCUGCACUUUGGUGGGAGGCCGAGAGCCCCCGGCAGCUGUUGGAGACACCUCUUCCGAUAGGAUCGGAUCCAGCAUCCCUGCCUCUUUAUCUGAUAAAGAGCGAAUUCCAGAGGGCCUGGCAGCAUCUCUCUCCUCGAGUGCUUUGCAUAGUUCCUGUGGAGGCUGCUUGCUCCCUCCUCAGCUCUGCACGGGGCUGGGGGGACAAUUUAUAGCCAAUGGCACCACGCUUUGGGUUGCAAGGUGCUAUCGACAUAUGAGAUAUUAUUUUAUUAUUAUAAACCCUGAGUAUUUUAUUAAGCCCCACUGGGAACGGGGCCAUCCUGGCCUGCUGGAAUUGUUAGCGCCUUGGAGUGAUUAAUAGUCCUAAUUUCCUCACUUAGAGCCACUGCUCUGUGUGCUGAGAGCGUUAGUCUCACUUGAAUAAUUUCUAAUAUCAUAAUGCCGGGUGAGGCUGCUCCAAGCGACCCGGCCAAUGAGCUUGGGAGAGCAGAAGGAUUUUUUCUGUUGUCUCUCUCUUUUAAGAGACACUUCCUAUAGGUGAAAGUGACCCUAAUGAAAAAUGAACUACGAAACACAAUUAGGGUUAUUAUAACUGAGCGGAGAGACUGAGAGAACCCAUCUGUUCCCAAAUGCUCCCAGCACAGCGCCAGGACUGCCCUGAGGGCGCAGUUUGUUCUCCAUCCCUCCAAUGCUGCUUUAGGACUGAUGUUUGAAGGAAAGGAAUCCCUGGAUGGCCGGGGCUGGAGCACACUGGGGACAGGGAUGGCCUGGUCACUGCCCUAUUGCUGCUGCGACCAUGCAGAGUGUGCCAUGGGGAGCAGCAUGGGGUCCCUGAGCCCCCAGCACUGCCCUGCACUGGGCACACUGGGCUGCUGGGGUCUGACUGGGAGCAGCAGCACUCACACCCCAAUGGGUUACGCACUGUGGAGGCUCACGCAGCUGUCCUUCCCUUGGCUUAAUUUCAGACAUUCCUAUCGAUGCUAUUUCCCCUCCCACACACCUCAAUGCGAUGCCUGCUCAAGUGAGCCCCUCUCUGAUAUCCAAGAACCACGUGUGCAAGUAGUUUGACUUCUCCACUGCACCCAGACCUGGACUCAGCACCGGUGUGGGAUGGAAGCAGCAGCAACCACUGCCAUGUCCCUUCCCCUAUAAGCAUUGCCCCAAAAGGUUGAGCACCUGCUCAACCUGACUGCAGGGCAUGCUCCUGCUCACUAUUUACCCUCAUGUUGUGUUUCCCUCCUCAUGAGCCCCUCCUGGUGUGUGCACAGAGAUGAAGAGUGCCAGUGGCCACCCAAAGGGAUAGAGCAUCCCAGCGUGCCACAGGUCCCAGCCUGGAGGCAUUGCAUGCAGUCAGACCCUGCACACUGCUUGACCUCAGCGCGAGCCCACACCGCUCCGCUUUCCCCAGAUUUGCUUUAUCUCUCUGGGAGCCUGAUGCCUCCCAUCUGCUCCAGUGCCAGAUGAAAUCGAAUAUUUGUACUUUCCAAGGGCUGUGGUUAGCAAUAAACAAGUUAGCUGACGAGGA